GGAGACGGAUGAAGUCUGAGAAUUUAUAGAGACUGGAUCACGCUUUUGGUCUGAGCACUGGUAGAGAUGGACACUCUUGCCUGGAAACUGUUUGUGAGGGUACCACUGAAACUGAGAGGCAUCUUGGGUAAACUGACUGGACUGGACUGUUCUCCUCUCCACGUCUCACCCCAGCUUCUGCAUAAGCCUGACAAAACCCUCCUAGGCUGGACACUCAAUAGCAACUCGAUCCCUGGAAUCUGUUUCUGCUGUCCAGGAGCUCUGCCUUCCUCAUAGUCAGAGGAAGGAGGAGAGGGGAACAGAGAACAGCGUGCACAUGUCCAUGUCGAAGAUACUACCAUGGGUACUAACGCUCAGGACAAACUCUAUCCAAUAGUAGUUUCAUAUACGCUCACAACACUUUUCUCAAUUAGUUUCUCACACACUUAACUUCUUUGCAGUUAAAUAGUACCAUAGAUAUCCAACCCAAUCUGCUAGGUUGAUAGUCACUCUAUGGGAAAAUGCUUAGAACACUGCCCCAACCCACCCUCCUUGGUUUGCUAUGGUUUCCUAUCCACCAGUUGAUGGAUGGGUUUGCAUAUGCAGCCUUGAUUCUGUAGAAUAAUCCCUUUUGUCACUAUACAGUCAGGUGACCCAAGAGAAUUAGAACUUCAGUCAGGUGGUGACUGUCAUAAGUGCUAGCAGAUGGGGAAACUUUCUGUGUUGUUUUCUACAUCUCAGAUACAUGUAUACAGAAACGAAGACAGAAGUUUUGCAGAAGCAACUGAUCUUUUGAUAGUGUACAGAAGCAUAGAAGGGCCACAUAACCCCAGUAAGGGAAGAGACAGUGUGGAAAUUCAGCGUUUCUGUUCAUCCUUCAGCCCUUGAUACAUUUCAUAUCAUAGGAAAUAAAAUAUUCUAAUGUAGAUUUUUUAUUUUAGCUAGUCUAAAUGGAGUUCUAUUCUUUGUCAAGUUUCCCCCAAAUUGAUAAAAUAUAAUCACAAAUGGCCUGAGAGUUCUGAACCUCAGUCUUGAUUAUAAGAAGAAAAACAAAUUUAGUGGCAAUUGAGAAUUAACAGUAUUUUGGGCGAAGAAGCGCCCACCACUAUGGCCACCUUUCCUCCUCUCUUCCACCCCCAGUCUUGCUUUUGUCAGUGCCACCUUUGGGCAGGUGGUCCUGUGGUGCAGAAGAAAUCAAACUGAGCAAGUCAUGGAGGAUAAGCCUUGCCUCCAGCU
Chionomys nivalis (European snow vole) is the source of this 1215-nucleotide long non-coding RNA. RefSeq lists it as uncharacterized. NCBI's taxonomy places the organism in Eukaryota, Metazoa, Chordata, Mammalia, Rodentia, Cricetidae. The transcript has 3 exons. The record is from RefSeq and is a predicted model, not a curated record.